UACGGAGGGGGCUAGCGUUGUUCGGAAUGACUGGGCGUAAAGCGCGCGUAGGCGGAUUGGCAAGUUGGGGGUGAAAUCCCGGGGCUCAACCUCGGAAUGGCCUUCAAGACUGCUGGUCUUGAGUUCGAGAGAGGUGAGUGGAAUUCCGAGUGUAGAGGUGAAAUUCGUAGAUAUUCGGAGGAACACCGGUGGCGAAGGCGGCUCACUGGUUCGACACUGACGCUGAGGUGCGAAAGCGUGGGGAGCAAACAGG
Molecule: ribosomal RNA, 253 nt
Filed under: uncultured bacterium
Lineage: Bacteria
Description: partial 16S ribosomal RNA
Rfam family: Bacterial small subunit ribosomal RNA
Source: RNAcentral